Molecule: unclassified non-coding RNA, 269 nt
Filed under: Hevea brasiliensis (rubber tree)
Lineage: Eukaryota; Viridiplantae; Streptophyta; Magnoliopsida; Malpighiales; Euphorbiaceae
Source: RNAcentral
GAAGUUUUCUGAUUGCUUAUCUUUUUUCUCUGGUUUGAUAAAAGUCAAUUUCUAUAGAAGUUAACAAAGGCCCACAUUUCUACAGAAACAGUCGAUAUUUUUGUUUCCCUUUCUGUUACCUGCAUGUAUCAUGUAAUGUAGCUGAAAAUAGGAUCUUGUUUGAUUUGUGAUGGCUACAGUUUGUGCAAUUUCUUUCAUUACAAUUUUGAUCGACUGUUCGACUGAAUUUUCUUUUAUCCUCUCCUCAGGGAGUAGGAAUUCUCUUCUCU